This 286-nucleotide ribosomal RNA is filed under the name uncultured Actinomycetales bacterium. Its description in RNAcentral is "partial 16S ribosomal RNA". It matches the Rfam family "Bacterial small subunit ribosomal RNA", at positions 504 to 789 of the family's 1533-position model. Lineage: Bacteria; Bacillati; Actinomycetota; Actinomycetes; Actinomycetales. The record is from RNAcentral.
UGUGCCAGCCGCCGCGGUAAUACGUAGGGUGCGAGCGUUGUCCGGAAUUAUUGGGCGUAAAGAGCUUGUAGGCGGCUUGUCGCGUCUGCUGUGAAAGCCCGGGGCUUAACUCCGGGUCUGCAGUGGGUACGGGCAGGCUAGAGUGUGGUAGGGGAGACUGGAAUUCCUGGUGUAGCGGUGGAAUGCGCAGAUAUCAGGAGGAACACCGAUGGCGAAGGCAGGUCUCUGGGCCAUUACUGACGCUGAGAAGCGAAAGCGUGGGGAGCGAACAGGAUUAGAUACCCUG